Long non-coding RNA from Hirundo rustica (Barn swallow), 294 nucleotides. RefSeq lists it as uncharacterized. Lineage: Eukaryota; Metazoa; Chordata; Aves; Passeriformes; Hirundinidae. The record is from RefSeq and is a predicted model, not a curated record. The transcript is spliced from 3 exons.
CCCUAGAAAGGAUUGCUUCUUGGGAAGUCUCUUUGAGAGGUUUGUCAGCAGGGAAAAGGUACCUGCGGCAGCUGCUUUGCAGGUCCCCUGCUGUGCAAAUCGCCCUUCACAGAGGAAGAUCUUCCUGUCAGGGACUGACAAGAGGUGCCAGGAGCAGGCUACGAGACUUUUGAAACCUGGCUUUAUGAAGGAAGCUGGAGGCAGUUCUCAUUAGUCUCACUGACAUCUUUUAUCACUUAUCAGAGGAACAAGCAAACGGAGAGCAAUUCCUUUGAUCAUGGCAAAAGUAGAAAG